GCGUGGACCCUGGACUUGUGCUCCUAUGUCAUUUAUCCCAGCUGUUCCCGGUUUCCCCUUCUGAGCCAGGUAUCUUGGCCUCCUCGGUGGCCACAGCUUUCUGCUAAGCCUCGGUCUUCUUCCCGGCAGGAGAGACCUUUGACCCAUGUGCGUCCUGAUCCGUGGCCAGGAGCGUACCCAGUACGGCGGUGCGCCACUCGAGAGGCCUGACCCAGAUAUCAGUGCUCCAUGGGAAUGCUGCAAAGACCCGGGGCUCUGAAAAGAUGGCCAUGCUAAUUCCUCUGUUGGUGUUUACCCAAGACAUGAAGACCAGAACAGGAAGAGACACUCGUGGGCUAUUCAUAAUCAACCAACUCAAUCCAUGAAUGGCAAAGUUGAUGGUGAUAAUUUUCCCUCAGAAACUGUCCCUCAGAAUGAAAAGUAGCCCAUGAUGAAUGUGGCCUAAGCACAUCUCAGAAGCACAAUGCCAAGGGAAAGAAACUCCUUAAAUGACAUCGUGGGGUUGGCAGGAGAAUAGAAACAGAAAUCAGACCCGCGGUUGUCAGAGAUGGAAACACAGAAUGGGAUUUGUUUGCAAAGCGUCUCAAAGAACUUUGUGGAAAGAACAGCCAUGGUCUAAGCUGUAAUACUGGUCAAAGCUUGUUUCAUGGUACUCAAAGAAGAUGAACUUAAGGAUUUAAAUACUUCUCAGUAAGCUUGAGUUAAAAGGGGUGUGAAGUCCUCAAAUAAUUAAACAUAGACUUGGAUGAUUCAGCCCACUUCUAGGCACAUAACAGAGAGGAUGGAAAGCAGGUCUGUAUGCCAAAUGCGCAUGACACAGUUCUCACGGGCACUAAAAGGUUGGGCCCAGCCCAGAAGGCACCGAUCAACAGGUGCAUGGAUACAGCAAAUGUGACAGGUACUGACUUUUUCAAGUAAUGGGACGAGUUAAGAAGAGAGAUCUGCUAAAAGGCUGCAUCCUCCCAUCUAGCAAGGCCUCCUAGACCUUAGGCUUUGCUGCAAUGGCAAAGAUAAAUGUGAUGAAGACGGGGGCUGGAGAGAUGGUUCAGUGGUUACGAGCACUAGCUGCUCUUCCAUAGGUCCUGAGUUCAAUUCCCAGCAAACACAUGGUGGCUCACAGCCAUCUGUAAUGGAAUCUGAUGCCCUCUUCUGGUGUGUCUGAAGACAGCGAGAGUGUACUCAUACACAAAAUAAACAAAUCUUCAAAAAAAAAAAAAUGUGAUGAAGACACAAUACUCUGGGACUAGGUGUGAAUGUCCUUGUCCCAAGCUCCUCCCAUACAAAGGACCACCCUACUUGUCUCUUCAGGUUGCCCCACCUGUCUCCUUUUAGCCAGACGGAUGAUUCUGCUUUUCUACCAUUAUAAUCAGCAUUCUCUGAUAGGAAUCUUCUAGAGAAGGGAGGCUUAGAGCAUGCAUAUGCACACACACACACACACACACACACACACACACACACACAAACACACACACACACACACACACACACACACACACGAGUUUAUUCUAGAGAAUUGGUUCAUAGAGCCAUGGAGGCUAACAUGCCCCAUAUUCUGCAAUUCUCUGGCUGGAAACCCAGGAGAGAUAAUGGUGUAAUUCUAGUUGGAAGCUAGCAGACCUGAGACCCAGUGUUUCUCUUUGACUCCAAACGGAGAAGAGAAGCCAUUGUGAAGACCACAAGGCAGAAGGAGCACCUUCUUGCUCUUGGAAGUAUCACUCUUCAUUGUCUGUUGAAGACUUCUGGACUGACUGGAGGAGGCCGGUCCUCACUUAGGAGGUCUUUUUCCUUCAAUCACUCUACCAACUUAAAUAUUGAUCUCACCCAGAACAUCUCACAUGCAAAUCCAGAAUCAGUCCACUUAAGCUGACACAUAAACUUGUUGUGUUGGGUAAUUUUAUGUCAACUUGACACAAGCUAGAAUUAUCUGAGAAGCAACCACAAUUGAGGAAAUGCCUCCAUAGAUUGGCCUGUAGGUAAGUCUGUGGGGGCAUUGUCUCAAUUAAUGAUUGACGUAGGAGUGGGCAGCCUACAGGGAUGCUGCUACCCCUGGGCAAGUGAUCCCCAGUCGUAUAAGAAAGUAGGCCAAGAGAGCUGGCUAGCAAACGGAUUAAUGUUCACAUGGCUUUUGCUCCCGUUCCUGCCUCCAAGUUCCUGCCCUGGCUUCCUUCAGUGAUGGACUUAUACACUCUAAGGUGAAAUAAACUCUUUCCUUCUC
This 2215-nucleotide long non-coding RNA is filed under the name Mus musculus (house mouse). RNAcentral describes it as "RIKEN cDNA 1700112J16 gene, transcript variant 1 (1700112J16Rik)". Lineage: Eukaryota; Metazoa; Chordata; Mammalia; Rodentia; Muridae. The record is from RNAcentral.